RNAcentral lists this ribosomal RNA (497 nucleotides) under uncultured bacterium. RNAcentral describes it as "partial 16S ribosomal RNA". It matches the Rfam family "Bacterial small subunit ribosomal RNA", at positions 28 to 507 of the family's 1533-position model. The record is from RNAcentral.
GACGAACGCUGGCGGCGUGCCUAAUACAUGCAAGUUGAGCGAUGAAGAUUGGUGCUUGCACCAAUUUGAAGAGCAGCGAACGGGUGAGUAACGCGUGGGGAAUCUGCCUUUGAGCGGGGGACAACAUUUGGAAACGAAUGCUAAUACCGCAUAACAACUUUAAACAUAAGUUUUAAGUUUGAAAGAUGCAAUUGCAUCACUCAAAGAUGAUCCCGCGUUGUGUUAGCUAGUUGGUGAGGUAAAGGCUCACCAAGGCGAUGAUACAUAGCCGACCUGAGAGGGUGAUCGGCCACAUUGGGACUGAGACACGGCCCAAACUCCUACGGGAGGCAGCAGUAGGGAAUCUUCGGCAAUGGACGAAAGUCUGACCGAGCAACGCCGCGUGAGUGAAGAAGGGUUUCGGAUCGUAAAACUCUGUUGGUAGAGAAGAACGUUGGUGAGAGUGGAAAGCUCAUCAAGUGACGGUAACUACCCAGAAAGGGACGGCUAACUACGUG